Molecule: ribosomal RNA, 373 nt
Filed under: uncultured organism
Description: partial 16S ribosomal RNA
Rfam family: Bacterial small subunit ribosomal RNA
Source: RNAcentral
GUAGGUGGCAAGCGUUGUCCGGAAUUAUUGGGCGUAAAGCGCGCGCAGGCGGUUCUUUAAGUCUGAUGUGAAAGCCCACGGGCUCAACCGUGGAGGGUCAUUGGAAACUGGAGAACUUGAGUACAGAAGAGGAAAGCGGAAUUCCACUUGUAGCGGUGAAAUGCGUAGAGAUGUGGAGGAACACCAGUGGCGAAGGCGGCUUUCUGGUCUGUAACUGACGCUGAGGCGCGAAAGCGUGGGGAGCAAACGGGAUUAGAUACCCUGGUAGUCCACGCCGUAAACGAUGAGUGCUAAGUGUUAGGGGGUUUCCGCCCCUUAGUGCUGCAGCUAACGCAUUAAGCACUCCGCCUGGGGAGUACGGCCGCAAAGGCUG